This 382-nucleotide ribosomal RNA is filed under the name uncultured bacterium. Its description in RNAcentral is "bacterial SSU rRNA". It matches the Rfam family "Bacterial small subunit ribosomal RNA", at positions 29 to 400 of the family's 1533-position model. The record is from RNAcentral.
AAUGAACGCUGGCGGCGCGCCUAAUACAUGCAAGUCGAGCGAGAAGACGUAGCAAUACGUUUGUAAAGCGGCGAACGGGUGAGGAAUACAUGGGUAACCUACCCUAGAGUGGGGAAUAACUAGCCGAAAGGUUAGCUAAUACCGCGUACGCUCCUUGGACUUCGGUUCAGGGAGGAAAGCGAUACCGAGGGUAUCGCGCUCUUGGAUGGGCUCAUGUCCUAUCAGCUUGUUGGUGAGGUAACGGCUCACCAAGGCUUCGACGGGUAGCUGGUCUGAGAGGACGAUCAGCCACACUGGCACUGCGACACGGGCCAGACUCCGUACGGGNGGCAGCAGUAAGGAAUAUUGCGCAAUGGGCGAAAGCCUGACGCAGCGACGCCGC